UAAUACGGAGGAUGCGAGCGUUAUCCGGAAUCAUUGGGUUUAAAGGGUCCGUAGGCGGUUUAAUAAGUCAGUGGUGAAAUCUGGUCGCUCAACGAUCAAACUGCCAUUGAUACUGUUAGACUUGAAUUACUGUGAAGUAACUAGAAUAUGUAGUGUAGCGGUGAAAUGCUUAGAUAUUACAUGGAAUACCAAUUGCGAAGGCAGGUUACUAACAGUGGAUUGACGCUGAUGGACGAAAGCGUGGGGAGCGAACAGG
This 256-nucleotide ribosomal RNA is filed under the name uncultured archaeon. Its description in RNAcentral is "partial 16S ribosomal RNA". It matches the Rfam family "Bacterial small subunit ribosomal RNA", at positions 521 to 776 of the family's 1533-position model. The record is from RNAcentral.